Molecule: long non-coding RNA, 295 nt
Organism: Lemur catta (Ring-tailed lemur)
Lineage: Eukaryota; Metazoa; Chordata; Mammalia; Primates; Lemuridae
Exons: 4
Source: RefSeq, a predicted model, not a curated record
GUCCAGUCAGCAGCAGAAUAAGAAAGUGUACUGAUGUCGCUGUUCAGGAGGUUGGCUGUGGGGGCCAAGUCAGAAAUGGAAAUCUCAGGAUGUUGUGUGAAGAUUAAAGAGGAAAAAAGAGAAGAGGGAUGGAGAAGUCAAGGAAAGCUAUUAUACUGAAAGUAGUCUGGUUGCAGGUAUAAAGGACAAUGAACAAGCUGAAAAAUGUUUCUGGAGUUAAGCUUGUGAUAUUGGCAGUUCGAGAAUGGACAGAAAACAUGGGAAAUACGUAGUGAAUAUUGAACCUUCUGGAAAC